AGAGUUUGAUCCUGGCUCAGGACAAACGCUGGCGGCGUGCAUUAAGCAUGUAAGUCGAACGGCGGGGGCAACCCCGCAGUGGCAGACGGCUGAGGAAGACGGCCGUAACCUACCCCUCGGAGGGGGAUAACCCCGCGAAAGCGGGGCUAAGACCGCGUACGCUCGCCUGGGGGAGAGCCAGGCGAGGAAAACGGUGACGU
Molecule: ribosomal RNA, 200 nt
Filed under: uncultured bacterium
Lineage: Bacteria
Description: partial 16S ribosomal RNA
Rfam family: Bacterial small subunit ribosomal RNA
Source: RNAcentral